AUACGGAGGGUGCAAGCGUUGUUCAGAAUUACUGGGCGUAAAGCGCGUGCAGGCGGUAAGGUAAGUCAGAUGUGAAAGCCCCGGGCUCAACCCGGGAAGUGCAUUUGAUACUGCCUUUCUUGAGUAUGGGAGAGGAGAGUGGAAUUCCCAGUGUAGAGGUGAAAUUCGUAGAUAUUGGGAGGAACACCCGUGGCGAAGGCGACUCUCUGGACCAAUACUGACGCUGAGACGCGAAAGCGUGGGGAGCGAACAGGAUUAGAAACCCCAGUAGUCC
This 274-nucleotide ribosomal RNA is filed under the name uncultured bacterium. Its description in RNAcentral is "partial 16S ribosomal RNA". It matches the Rfam family "Bacterial small subunit ribosomal RNA", at positions 523 to 796 of the family's 1533-position model. The record is from RNAcentral.